Molecule: small RNA, 1124 nt
Filed under: Pan troglodytes (chimpanzee)
Lineage: Eukaryota; Metazoa; Chordata; Mammalia; Primates; Hominidae
Description: retained intron
Source: RNAcentral
CCAGGAGAUCCUGAACUACAUCAGCAGGAAAGAGUUUGAGCCCCUCCUCAGGGUGGACCAGCUCAACCUGGAGCGGGAGAAGCACAAGGUCUUCCUUCGAUUCAGUGAGGAGGAGAUCUCCUUCCCACCCACCUACCGCUAUGAGCGGGGUUCCCGGGACACAUAUGCCUGGCACAAGCAGAAGCCAACUGGGGUCCGGACCAAUGUGCCCUCAUGGUGUGACCGGAUUCUGUGGAAAUCCUACCCUGAAACUCACAUCAUCUGCAAUUCUUAUGGUCAGAGCCUCCCGGACAGAGUGAUGGGAGAUCUGGGGUGGUCACCAUCUGGACUCUGCCCUAACCUUGGGAGGUGGGAGCCGAGGGUGGGAAUAUUCCCCCUGAGUCCCCAUUCCUAUCCCCUCUCCCCAGGUUGCACUGAUGACAUCGUCACCAGCGACCAUUCCCCCGUGUUUGGGACAUUUGAGGUUGGAGUUACCUCCCAGUUCAUCUCCAAGAAAGGGCUCUCGAAGACUUCAGACCAGGCCUACAUUGAGUUUGAGAGCAUCGAGGCCAUUGUGAAGACAGCCAGCCGCACCAAGUUCUUCAUCGAGUUCUACUCUACCUGCCUGGAGGAAUACAAGAAGAGCUUUGAGAAUGAUGCCCAGAGCAGUGACAACAUCAACUUCCUCAAAGUGCAGUGGUCUUCACGCCAGCUGCCCACGCUCAAACCAAUUCUGGCUGAUAUCGAGUACCUGCAGGACCAGCACCUCCUGCUCACAGUCAAGUCCAUGGAUGGCUAUGAAUCCUAUGGGGAGUGUGUGGUUGCACUCAAAUCCAUGAUCGGCAGCACGGCCCAACAGUUCCUGACCUUCCUAUCCCACCGUGGCGAGGAGACAGGCAAUAUCAGAGGCUCCAUGAAGGUGCGGGUGCCCACGGAGCGCCUGGGCACCCGUGAGCGGCUCUACGAGUGGAUCAGCAUUGAUAAGGAUGAGGCAGGAGCAAAGAGCAAAGCCCCCUCUGUGUCCCGAGGGAGCCAGGAGCCCAGGUCAGGGAGCCGCAAGCCAGCCUUCACAGAGGCCUCCUGCCCGCUCUCCAGGUUAUUUGAAGAACCAGAGAAACCGCCACCAACGGGGAGGCCCCCAGCCC